UACGUAGGCAGCGAGCGUUGUUCGGAGUUACUAGGCGUAAAGCGUGCGUAGGCGGUGUCUUAAGUUUGUUGUGAAAUCUCCCGGCUUAACCGGGAGGGUGCGGCGAAUACUGAGAUGCUGGAGUGCCGGAGAGGUAAGCGGAAUUCCUGGUGUAGCGGUGAAAUGCGUAGAGAUCCGGAGGAACACCAGUGGCGAAGGCGACACGCUGGGCCGUACCUGACACUGAUGCGCGACAGCAUGGGGAGCAAACAGG
RNAcentral lists this ribosomal RNA (253 nucleotides) under uncultured bacterium. RNAcentral's name for it is "partial 16S ribosomal RNA". It matches the Rfam family "Bacterial small subunit ribosomal RNA", at positions 524 to 776 of the family's 1533-position model. The record is from RNAcentral.